GACGAACGCUGGCGGCGUGCUUAACACAUGCAAGUCGAACGGAAAGGCCCUGCUUUUGUGGGGUGCUCGAGUGGCGAACGGGUGAGUGACACGUGAGUAACCUGCCCUUGACUUUGGGAUAACUUCAGGAAACUGGGGCUAAUACCGGAUAGGAGCUCCUGCUGCAUGGUGGGGGUUGGAAAGUUUCGGCGGUUGGGGAUGGACUCGCGGCUUAUCAGCUUGUUGGUGGGGUAGUGGCUUACCAAGGCUUUGACGGGUAGCCGGCCUGAGAGGGUGACCGGCCACAUUGGGACUGAGAUACGGCCCAGACUCCUACGGGAGGCAGCAGUGGGGAAUAUUGCACAAUGGGCGGAAACCUGAUGCAGCAACGCCGCGUGCGGGAUGACGGCCUUCGGGUUGUAAACCGCUUUCGCCUGUGACGAAGCGUGAGUGACGGUAAUGGGUAAAGAAGCACCGGCUAACUACGUG
This 468-nucleotide ribosomal RNA is filed under the name uncultured bacterium. RNAcentral describes it as "partial 16S ribosomal RNA". It matches the Rfam family "Bacterial small subunit ribosomal RNA", at positions 28 to 507 of the family's 1533-position model. The record is from RNAcentral.